UACAGAGGUCCCAAGCGUUUUUCGGAUUCACUGGGCGUAAAGGGUGCGUAGGUGGUCGGGUAAGUCUAAUGUGAAAUCUCCGAGCUCAACUCGGAAAAUGCAUCGGAAACUAUCCGACUAGAGGAAUGGAGGGGAGACUGGAAUACUUGGUGUAGCAGUGAAAUGCGUAGAUAUCAAGUGGAACACCAGUGGCGAAGGCGAGUCUCUGGACAUUUCCUGACGCUGAGGCACGAAAGCUAGGGGAGCAAACAGG
Molecule: ribosomal RNA, 253 nt
Filed under: uncultured bacterium
Lineage: Bacteria
Description: partial 16S ribosomal RNA
Rfam family: Bacterial small subunit ribosomal RNA
Source: RNAcentral